Molecule: transfer RNA, 92 nt
Organism: Puccinia sorghi
Lineage: Eukaryota; Fungi; Basidiomycota; Pucciniomycetes; Pucciniales; Pucciniaceae
Rfam family: tRNA
About the family: Transfer RNA (tRNA) molecules are approximately 80 nucleotides in length.
Source: Rfam
GACUCCAUGGCGCAAUGGUAGCGCGUUCGACUCCAGUGAGGCCUUCGUCUUGUGUAAUCGAAAGGUUGCGUGUUCAAGUCACGUUGGGGUCA